RNAcentral lists this ribosomal RNA (336 nucleotides) under uncultured eukaryote. Its description in RNAcentral is "partial 18S ribosomal RNA". It matches the Rfam family "Eukaryotic small subunit ribosomal RNA", at positions 1470 to 1796 of the family's 1831-position model. The record is from RNAcentral.
CCCCGAAAUGUACUGGGCUACACGCGCACUACACUGACAGAGUGAACGAGUUUGAUUCUCGCCUAGCGAGCCUGCCCUGAAGAGGGUGGGAAACCUUCAAAACUCUGUCGUGAUAGGAAUCGCAGAUUGCAAUUAUUCCUCUUGAACGAGGAAUGCCUAGUAGGCGCAACUCAUCAGGUUGCACUGAUUACGUCCCUGCCAUUUGUACACACCGCCCGUCGUUGCUACCGAUUGGGUGGAAGAUAGAGCUUGAUGGAUUGGUGCUUGUCCGGCUCGCCGGACGGUAUUGCGAAGUCAAGCGAUCUCUUCCAUCUAGAGGAAGCAAAAGUCGUAACA